CCUACGGGAGGCAGCAGUGAGGAAUAUUGGUCAAUGGGCGGAAGCCUGAACCAGCCAAGUAGCGUGCAGGAUGACGGCCCUACGGGUUGUAAACUGCUUUUAUACGGGAAUAACGCGCCUUACUAGUAGGGCUUUGCAUGUACCGUAUGAAUGAGGACCGGCUAAUUCCGUUCCAGUAGCCGCGGUCAUACGGCAGUUCCGGGCGUUAUCCGGAUUUUUUGGGUUUAAAGGGAGCGUAGGCCGCAAGGCAAGCGUGUCGUGAAAUGUCCGGGCUCAAACAGGGCCUUGCAGCGCGAACUGGGGUGCUUGAGGCCGCGGAAGGCAGGCGGAAUUCGUGGUGUAGCGGUGAAAUGCUUAGAUAUGAGGAAGAACCCCGGUGGCGAAGGCAGCUUGCUGCAGCGGAACUGACGCUGAGGCUCGAAAGCGCGGGUAUCGAACAGGAUUAGAUACCCUUGUAGUC
This 460-nucleotide ribosomal RNA is filed under the name uncultured bacterium. Its description in RNAcentral is "partial 16S ribosomal RNA". It matches the Rfam family "Bacterial small subunit ribosomal RNA", at positions 338 to 795 of the family's 1533-position model. The record is from RNAcentral.